RNAcentral lists this unclassified non-coding RNA (414 nucleotides) under plant metagenome. RNAcentral's name for it is "partial contains small subunit ribosomal RNA and internal transcribed spacer 1". The record is from RNAcentral.
AAGUCGUAACAAGGUUUCCGUACUACGAGACCCUGUGGAGCUGUUUUAUUCUACUGCGUUGCCACGACUAUAAACACAGGGCAUUUACUGCAAGUCCUUCGGGGCGACACUGCACGAUUGACGGGGACACCAUUCUGGCAACCCGCAGCCCUCCAGGGUUCACAGAUCAAGUGGCAGUGGGCUUUCGAGCUUAAGAUAUGACCGGCCCCAACGCGGAAGCCCUGGGAAAUAGCGUCCGUAGGUGAACCUGCGGAAGGAUCAUUAAAGAAUACAAGGCCUCACGGCCCUAUUCUCACCCUUUUGUAUACCAAACUUCGUUGCUUUGGCAGGCCCCUGGCUUCGGCUGGAUUGUGCCUGCCAAAGGACCUAAACUCUUGAAUCUCUGAUGUCUGAGUUACUAUGUAAUAGUUAAAA